This 496-nucleotide ribosomal RNA is filed under the name uncultured bacterium. RNAcentral describes it as "partial 16S ribosomal RNA". It matches the Rfam family "Bacterial small subunit ribosomal RNA", at positions 28 to 507 of the family's 1533-position model. The record is from RNAcentral.
GACGAACGCUGGCGGCGUGCCUAAUACAUGCAAGUUGAGCGCUGAAGGUUGGUACUUGUACCGACUGGAUGAGCAGCGAACGGGUGAGUAACGCGUGGGGAAUCUGCCUUUGAGCGGGGGACAACAUUUGGAAACGAAUGCUAAUACCGCAUAAAAACUUUAAACACAAGUUUUAAGUUUGAAAGAUGCAAUUGCAUCACUCAAAGAUGAUCCCGCGUUGUAUUAGCUAGUUGGUGAGGUAAAGGCUCACCAAGGCGAUGAUACAUAGCCGACCUGAGAGGUGGUUCGCCACAAUGGGACUUGGACAAGGCCCAAACUCCUACGGGAGGCAGCAGUAGGGAAUCUUCGGCAAUGGACGAAAGUCUGACCGAGCAACGCCGCGUGAGUGAAGAAGGUUUUCGGAUCGUAAAACUCUGUUGGUAGAGAAGAACGUUGGUGAGAGUGGAAAGCUCAUCAAGUGACGGUAACUACCCAGAAAGGGACGGCUAACUACGUG